ACUCCUACGGGAGGCAGCAGUGAGGAAUAUUGGACAAUGGAGGCAACUCUGAUCCAGCCAUGCCGCGUGCAGGAAGACUGCCCUAUGGGUUGUAAACUGCUUUUAUACGGGAAGAAACAGCUCUACGUGUAGAGCCUUGACGGUACCGUAAGAAUAAGCACCGGCUAACUCCGUGCCAGCAGCCGCGGUAAUACGGAGGGUGCAAGCGUUAUCCGGAAUCAUUGGGUUUAAAGGGUCCGUAGGCGGACGAUUAAGUCAGAGGUGAAAGUCUGCAGCUCAACUGUAGAAUUGCCUUUGAUACUGGUUGUCUUGAAUUAUUGUGAAGUGGUUAGAAUAAGUAGUGUAGCGGUGAAAUGCAUAGAUAUUACUUAGAAUACCAAUUGCGAAGGCAGAUCACUAACAAUAUAUUGACGCUGAGGGACGAAAGCGUGGGAGCGAACAGGAUUAGAUACCCCUGGUAGCGACUGA
This 468-nucleotide ribosomal RNA is filed under the name uncultured bacterium. Its description in RNAcentral is "bacterial SSU rRNA". It matches the Rfam family "Bacterial small subunit ribosomal RNA", at positions 335 to 803 of the family's 1533-position model. The record is from RNAcentral.